UGGUUCUCAAAACUCUUGGAAAACUGAUGGUGGCGUCAGGGUUCCUUUAGAAAAUGAAAGCGCAAGAGCACCUCAAGGAAGCUUCACGAAGGUUGAGAUUUUCAAGCCUAGAAUGAAAAACGUGAAUCUAUAUCAACUCUCGUGCAAGCUGAAGGACAUCUAUUUCCCAUA
Molecule: long non-coding RNA, 171 nt
Organism: Eucalyptus grandis
Lineage: Eukaryota; Viridiplantae; Streptophyta; Magnoliopsida; Myrtales; Myrtaceae
Exons: 3
Source: RefSeq, a predicted model, not a curated record